UACAGAGGGUGCAAGCGUUGUUCGGAAUUAUUGGGCGUAAAGGGAGUGUAGGCGGUUCGUUAAGUCUUCUGUGAAAUCUACGGGCUUAGCCUGUAACGUGCAGAGGAAACUAGCGAGCUUGAGUGUCGGAGAGGAUAGGGGAAUACCCAGUGUAGAGGUGAAAUUCGUAGAUAUUUGGAGGAAUACCGGCGGCGAAGGCGGCCUUCUGGGCCAUUCUUGACACUGAGACGCGAAAGCGUGGGGAGCAAACAGG
This 253-nucleotide ribosomal RNA is filed under the name uncultured bacterium. RNAcentral describes it as "partial 16S ribosomal RNA". It matches the Rfam family "Bacterial small subunit ribosomal RNA", at positions 524 to 776 of the family's 1533-position model. The record is from RNAcentral.